ACAGGGCUUAGGUGCCCCAACACUUUGCACCCUUUUUUUGUUCUUCUUAUUCUUCUUCUGUUUCUUAAAGGGUCGACGUCCAGAAGAAGAUCCUCCAACAACAUUCACUAACUUUUUGUAGAGCUGGUGAUCCUUCUCAAAGUUCUAUAGUAAUCCCAACAAAUCAUGGUAGUUGACUGCAGGCUUUGUCGUUCGAAAGUCAGUAAGAAAAGGAAGAUAGGACUUGGGCAAAG
RNAcentral lists this long non-coding RNA (233 nucleotides) under Elaeis guineensis (African oil palm). RNAcentral's name for it is "long non-coding RNA (EGUI_LNC055098)". The record is from RNAcentral. Lineage: Eukaryota; Viridiplantae; Streptophyta; Magnoliopsida; Arecales; Arecaceae.